Long non-coding RNA from Daktulosphaira vitifoliae (grape phylloxera), 723 nucleotides. RefSeq lists it as uncharacterized. NCBI's taxonomy places the organism in Eukaryota, Metazoa, Arthropoda, Insecta, Hemiptera, Phylloxeridae. The transcript is spliced from 3 exons. The record is from RefSeq and is a predicted model, not a curated record.
UUCAUAGAAAUUUAUGUCUAUUUUUAUCUAUCAAAUUAAUAAGAAUGCUUGUAUUUUAGAUGAAAAUAUACUUAAACAAUUUUGCACGGGGGGGGAUUAUGAUUGAUGGCGGUGGUGGAAGUGGUGGACGCGGUGGAUAUAGAAGAGUACGUGGUGGACGUGGUGGAGGAAGGAGAGGAGGAAAUGGACAAAUGAAAGUUUUUAGGGGAUAUUGCAAUUUUUGCAAAAAAAAUUGGCCACAAAGAGCGGGAGUGCUCCAAGAAAGAGGCUCCAGUUACAGCGGCUCCAGCAGCGGUGGCGGCUCCAGCAGCGGUGACGGCUGCAGUAGCGGUGGCAGCUCCAGCAAUUAUGGGGGGAGAAAUUAAAAUUUUUUUUUUUUUAAUAAAGAUUUUUUUUAACACUGAGUUUUUUAAUUAAUAGUUGAUUUUGCUUUUGUUAUAAGUCAAACGUGAACUCAUGUAGUUUAUUUCAGACUUUGAAAGAUUUUUCAGUAACACAUUAAUUAAAAUUAAAAUGUCUUCUGUGUAAGUAAAGUGAAUAAACAUUUAACAUUACAGAGAUUGCGAUAUUUCUGUAUAAAAUUAUUUUAAUUCAUUAGUUAUUUGCAUAUUGAAAGAUGAUCUGAGGGUGUCCAGUUACUUUUACUAAACUAAUAGAAGGAUUUUGAAAUUUUAUAUACAGAGUAAUCACAAUUAGGUAAGAUACUUAUUUUCAAUAUUUUCU